GGGCAGCUAGCUCAAUGGUUAGAGCAACUGGUUUACACCCAGUAGGUUAGAGGUUCGAAUCCUCUGUUGCCCA
This 73-nucleotide transfer RNA is filed under the name Puniceicoccales bacterium. Its description in RNAcentral is "tRNA-Val". It matches the Rfam family "tRNA". Rfam says of the family: Transfer RNA (tRNA) molecules are approximately 80 nucleotides in length. Lineage: Bacteria; Pseudomonadati; Verrucomicrobiota; Opitutia; Puniceicoccales. The record is from RNAcentral.